GAGGCAAUUUAGUAAACGUGUCCCAAUGGUGUCAGUCUAUAAAAACUGUAACACACGCAGCUUCUAAACAUUGUGCUAUACAGAACUGCAACUUAGCUGAGCAUAUACCGGAUCAUGUCUUUGAAAAUCACGACAUUCAGCCUUUUUGCUCUCGCACUCUUGUUCAUCUGUGGAUAUCACGUCACUUCUGCCCAUCCUCAUCAAUGGAGCUACCCGGUAGUCUGCGACAAAAGACCUUGCGGUAGUGCAGAUGACUGUCCACAUGGCUGCCGAUGUGUAUUCUACAGAGCCCCGGGGCCAGAGGCGAAGAAAGGGCCCGCACAAAUGGUGUGCUCAGCCUAAAACAAAUAAGAAGGCCUGCCAUUUUCUGCAAUUUCAAAAUGAAGAAAAUAAAGUUUCAUGUGUA
This is a long non-coding RNA of Rhipicephalus microplus (southern cattle tick), 406 nucleotides long. The record is from RefSeq and is a predicted model, not a curated record. NCBI's taxonomy places the organism in Eukaryota, Metazoa, Arthropoda, Arachnida, Ixodida, Ixodidae.